AAGUCGUAACAAGGUUUCCGUAGGUGAACCUGCGGAAGGAUCAUUAACACGUUAUCCACGUAUCUACCUCUUGCGAACUUUUUACUGUUCAGGAGUCGGCAGACCAGCGUAGAUAAUGGAGGUAGAUGUUACUAUGUCCAGUGGCCGACACCCUGGUUCUACCUGCCUAGCUAACCCCGCCAUCCCCUUCGUUUUUUUUUAAAUGUGGUGUAAGAAAAAAAGAAGCGUGUUGGGUGUGGGCUUAGGUAUUCUGGUUCAUAUGACUCGAAUCAUAGUAGUUUUUUUAAUCUUAUUAACCCUUUUUUUACUUAAUUUGUUGAAUUGUGAUGGUCCCUGGAGGUAACACUUCGGGUGGCUCACGUUAAUAAAACACUAUACAACUCUUAGCAACGGAUAUCUCGGUUCUCC
RNAcentral lists this unclassified non-coding RNA (408 nucleotides) under fungal sp. RNAcentral's name for it is "partial internal transcribed spacer region". The stretch from base 1 to 46 matches the Rfam family "Eukaryotic small subunit ribosomal RNA", at positions 1786 to 1831 of the family's 1831-position model. Lineage: Eukaryota; Fungi. The record is from RNAcentral.